CCACAACCACUGCCUCACCAUACACAACCUCCACAAUGCACACCACAACCCAUCCGCCCGCGUCCACAGCUUGGACACUCCCAAGUCAAUGAGAGAGACAUGGUCUGACAACAGACUGUCGGUGCCAGUGUAUCCUGAUGAAGACUAUAACGUCCCGUACAACUCUGCUGCUGCCAACCUGUCCGGUCAGCAGGCCCUGGAUCUGGCCCUCAGGGGCGAAAAGUCUACCUGCAGGGUGCGUACUGCUCCACGGCGACACUGCUGGCCUCAGGAUGUGACCAGUGAGGAGGGUUAUAAUGGAGACUCCAG
Molecule: long non-coding RNA, 309 nt
Filed under: Sander lucioperca (pikeperch)
Lineage: Eukaryota; Metazoa; Chordata; Actinopteri; Perciformes; Percidae
Description: lncRNA (ENSSLUG00000021194.1)
Source: RNAcentral